Molecule: ribosomal RNA, 443 nt
Filed under: uncultured bacterium
Lineage: Bacteria
Description: partial 16S ribosomal RNA
Rfam family: Bacterial small subunit ribosomal RNA
Source: RNAcentral
CCUACGGGCGGCUGCAGUGGGGAAUAUUGGGCAAUGGAGGAAACUCUGACCCAGCAACGCCGCGUGAAUGAUGAAGGUCUUCGGAUUGUAAAGUUCUUUUCUAAGGGAAGUAGAAAGUGACGGUACCUUAGGAAUAAGCCUCGGCUAACUACGUGCCAGCAGCCGCGGUAAUACGUAGGAGGCAAGCGUUGUUCGGAAUUACUGGGCGUAAAGGGAGCGUAGGCGGGAGAUUAAGUUAGGAGUGAAAGCCUUGGGCUCAACCCAAGAAAUGCUCUUAAUACUGGUUUUCUAGAGUGUAGGAGAGGUAAGUGGAAUUCGUGGUGUAGCGGUAGAAUGCGUAGAGAUUAGGAAGAACAUCAGAGGCGAAGGCAGCUUACUGGACCAUAACUGACACUGAGGCUCGAAAGCGUGGGGAUCAAACAGGAUUAGAUACCCCUGUAGUC